RNAcentral lists this ribosomal RNA (429 nucleotides) under uncultured Luteimonas sp. RNAcentral's name for it is "bacterial SSU rRNA". It matches the Rfam family "Bacterial small subunit ribosomal RNA", at positions 355 to 774 of the family's 1533-position model. The record is from RNAcentral. Lineage: Bacteria; Pseudomonadati; Pseudomonadota; Gammaproteobacteria; Lysobacterales; Lysobacteraceae.
UGGGGAAGUUUUGGAUCAAUGGGGCAACCGUCGAUCCAGCCAUCCCGCGUGUGCGAUGAAGGCCUUCGGGUUGUAAAGCCCUUUUGUUGGGGAAGAAAUCCUGCUGGCUAAUACCCGGCGGGGAUGACGGUACCCAAAGAAUAAGCACCGGCUAACUUCGUGCCAGCAGCCGCGGUAAUACGAAGGGUGCAAGCGUUACUCGGAAUUACUGGGCGUAAAGCGUGCGUAGGUGGUUCGUUAAGUCUGAUGUGAAAGCCCCGGGCUCAACCUGGGAAUUGCAUUGGAUACUGGCGGGCUAGAGUACGGUAGAGGGUGGCGGAAUUCCUGGUGUAGCAGUGAAAUGCGUAGAGAUCAGGAGGAACAUCCGUGGCGAAGGCGGCCACCUGGACCAGUACUGACACUGAGGCACGAAAGCGUGGGGAGCAAACA